CAGUCAUGCUAGUGAGGAAUCAACUUGAUGGUGUGUGGGUUCGCUCGCAUACUUUCCGGUGCACUUCCUCACUCGGCAGGUUAGCAUCAAUUUCGGUUAUCAUAUAAAAUGACUGGAGGAAUGUAGCUUCGAUCUCGUAUUGAAGUGUUAUAGCCUUUGGUAGAUGUAACGGAU
RNAcentral lists this ribosomal RNA (174 nucleotides) under Acaulospora cavernata. Lineage: Eukaryota; Fungi; Glomeromycota; Glomeromycetes; Diversisporales; Acaulosporaceae. The record is from RNAcentral.